Molecule: small nucleolar RNA, 139 nt
Organism: Drosophila melanogaster (fruit fly)
Lineage: Eukaryota; Metazoa; Arthropoda; Insecta; Diptera; Drosophilidae
Source: Ensembl
AAGGCGCUUUAAUUCACAGGUUUAGUGGAUCCACACCACGAACACUGACUGUACUUAGUGCCAGAUAAAUCGUGAUCACUGAACCAUUGGUGUUGCUGUAAUUGCCUAGCCACACUUCACUGAUUUGUGACCCACACUU